CUAUGAUCUGAAGUCAAGUGGGACUACCCGCUGAACUUAAGCAUAUCAAUAAGCGGAGGA
RNAcentral lists this ribosomal RNA (60 nucleotides) under Rhizopus microsporus var. chinensis. Its description in RNAcentral is "partial 28S ribosomal RNA". It matches the Rfam family "Eukaryotic large subunit ribosomal RNA", at positions 1 to 57 of the family's 3401-position model. RNAcentral also lists the same sequence under 5 other names. Lineage: Eukaryota; Fungi; Mucoromycota; Mucoromycetes; Mucorales; Rhizopodaceae. The record is from RNAcentral.